AAAUGGGACCUGUCCUGAAGACUUUACUGGACUGUUAUUUACAGUAGCCUCACUCUCCGUCCAUCUGCUCAAAACCCAGCCAUGUAAAGCUGCUUCCUGUCUUUACCCAUGUUCUGGGACUAGCCCCAGUGUGAAGCUGAGCUGCAUCUGGGCUGAGCAUAAUGGAGAACUGGUGGAAAUAAAAGUUCUU
Molecule: non-coding RNA, 190 nt
Organism: Miniopterus natalensis
Lineage: Eukaryota; Metazoa; Chordata; Mammalia; Chiroptera; Miniopteridae
Source: RefSeq, a predicted model, not a curated record